CAGUCGCCAUGGGAAAACGAAGGGGGCUAGCGUUGCUCGGAAUGACUGGGCGUAAAGGGCGCGUAGGCGGCGGCCAAAGUCAGGCGUGAAAUUCCCGGGCUCAACCUGGGGGCUGCGUUUGAUACUUGGUUGCUUGAGUGGGGAAGAGGGUCGUGGAAUUCCCAGUGUAGAGGUGAAAUUCGUAGAUAUUGGGAAGAACACCGGUGGCGAAGGCGGCGACCUGGUUCAUGAUUGACGCUGAGGCGCGAAAGCGUGGGGAGCAAACAGGAUUAGAUACCCCAGUAGUCCCUGUCUCUUAUAC
Molecule: ribosomal RNA, 301 nt
Filed under: uncultured bacterium
Lineage: Bacteria
Description: partial 16S ribosomal RNA
Rfam family: Bacterial small subunit ribosomal RNA
Source: RNAcentral